Molecule: ribosomal RNA, 1703 nt
Filed under: Kingella kingae
Lineage: Bacteria; Pseudomonadati; Pseudomonadota; Betaproteobacteria; Neisseriales; Neisseriaceae
Description: partial 23S ribosomal RNA
Rfam family: Bacterial large subunit ribosomal RNA
Source: RNAcentral
GGAGCGUUCUGUAAGCCUAUGAAGGUGACUUGUAAAGGUUGCUGGAGGUAUCAGAAGUGCGAAUGUUGACAUGAGUAGCGAUAAAGUGGGUGAAAAGCCCGCUCGCCGAAAGCCCAAGGUUUCCUACGCAACGUUCAUCGGCGUAGGGUGAGUCGGUCCCUAAGGCGAGGCAGAAAUGCGUAGUCGAUGGGAAACAGGUUAAUAUUCCUGUACUUUGAUUCAAUGCGAUGUGGGGACGGAGAAGGUUAGGUUAGCAAACUGUUGGAAUAGUUUGUUUAAGCCAGUAGGUGGAAAGAGUAGGCAAAUCCGCUCUUUCUUAACACCGAGACGUGAUGACGAGUGUCUACGGACAUGAAGUGACCAAUACCACGCUUCCAGGAAAAGCCACUAAGCUUCAGUUGAAUCAGAACCGUACCGCAAACCGACACAGGUGGGCAGGAUGAGAAUUCUAAGGCGCUUGAGAGAACUCGGGAGAAGGAACUCGGCAAAUUGAUACCGUAACUUCGGGAGAAGGUAUGCCCUCUAAUGUUAAGGACUUGCUCCGUAAGCAUCUGAGGGUCGCAGAGAAUCGGUGGCUGCGACUGUUUAUUAAAAACACAGCACUCUGCUAACACGAAAGUGGACGUAUAGGGUGUGACGCCUGCCCGGUGCUGGAAGGUUAAUUGAAGAUGUGCAAGCAUCGGAUCGAAGCCCCAGUAAACGGCGGCCGUAACUAUAACGGUCCUAAGGUAGCGAAAUUCCUUGUCGGGUAAGUUCCGACCCGCACGAAUGGCGUAACGAUGGCCACACUGUCUCCUCCCGAGACUCAGCGAAGUUGAAAUGGUUGUGAAGAUGCAAUCUCCCCGCUGCUAGACGGAAAGACCCCGUGAACCUUUACUGUAGCUUUGCAUUGGACUUUGAAGUCACUUGUGUAGGAUAGGUGGGAGGCUUUGAAGCAGAGACGCCAGUCUCUGUGGAGCCGUCCUUGAAAUACCACCCUGGUGACUUUGAGGUUCUAACCCAGACUCGUUAUCCGGGUCGGGGACCGUGCAUGGUAGGCAGUUUGACUGGGGCGGUCUCCUCCCAAAGAGUAACGGAGGAGUUCGAAGGUUACCUAGGUCCGGUCGGAAAUCGGACUGAUAGUGCAAUGGCAAAAGGUAGCUUAACUGCGAGACCGACAAGUCGAGCAGGUGCGAAAGCAGGACAUAGUGAUCCGGUGGUUCUGAAUGGAAGGGCCAUCGCUCAACGGAUAAAAGGUACUCCGGGGAUAACAGGCUGAUUCCGCCCAAGAGUCCAUAUCGACGGCGGAGUUUGGCACCUCGAUGUCGGCUCAUCACAUCCUGGGGCUGUAGUCGGUCCCAAGGGUAUGGCUGUUCGCCAUUUAAAGUGGUACGUGAGCUGGGUUUAAAACGUCGUGAGACAGUUUGGUCCCUAUCUGCAGUGGGCGUUGGAAGUUUGAUGGGGGCUGCUCCUAGUACGAGAGGACCGGAGUGGACGAACCUCUGGUGUACCGGUUGUUUCGCCAGAAGCAUAGCCGGGUAGCUAAGUUCGGAAGAGAUAAGCGCUGAAAGCAUCUAAGCGCGAAACUCGCCCAAAGAUGAGACUUCCCUUGUGGUUUAACCAUACUAAAGAGUCGUUCGAGACCAGGACGUUGAUAGGUUGGGUGUGGAAGAGUGGUAACACUUGAAGCUAACCAAUACUAAUUGCUCGUGAGGCUUGACUCU